This 497-nucleotide ribosomal RNA is filed under the name uncultured bacterium. RNAcentral's name for it is "partial 16S ribosomal RNA". It matches the Rfam family "Bacterial small subunit ribosomal RNA", at positions 28 to 507 of the family's 1533-position model. The record is from RNAcentral.
GAUGAACGCUGGCGGCGUGCCUAAUACAUGCAAGUCGAGCGAACAGACGAGGAGCUUGCUCCUCUUACGUUAGCGGCGGACGGGUGAGUAACACGUGGAUAACCUACCUAUAAGACUGGGAUAACUUCGGGAAACCGGAGCUAAUACCGGAUAAUAUAUUGAACCGCAUGGUUCAAUAGUGAAAGACGGUUUUGCUGUCACUUAUAGAUGGAUCCGCGCCGCAUUAGCUAGUUGGUAAGGUAACGGCUUACCAAGGCAACGAUGCGUAGCCGACCUGAGAGAGUGAUCGGCCACACUGGAACGGAGACACGGUCCAGACUCCUACGGGAGGCAGCAGUAGGGAAUCUUCCGCAAUGGGCGAAAGCAUGACGGAGCAACGGCGCGUGAGUGAUGAAGGUCUUCGGAUCGUAAAACUCUGUUAUUAGGAAAGAACAAAUGUGUAAGUAACUAUGCACGUCUUGACGGUACCUAAUCAGAAAGCCACGGCUAACUACGUG